CAAAUCAGAGCUUGGAUAAGCUUUUUAUUUACAUUAAAAUUAUAUUUGUGUAACUCAAAUUGAUUUGA
Molecule: transfer RNA, 68 nt
Filed under: Bostrichoidea sp. 5 KM-2017
Lineage: Eukaryota; Metazoa; Arthropoda; Insecta; Coleoptera
Description: tRNA-Val
Source: RNAcentral